RNAcentral lists this ribosomal RNA (1833 nucleotides) under Triticum aestivum (bread wheat). RNAcentral describes it as "partial small subunit ribosomal RNA". The record is from RNAcentral. Lineage: Eukaryota; Viridiplantae; Streptophyta; Magnoliopsida; Poales; Poaceae.
AUGGCCGCCAAGAACUAUGGUGAAUUGUACAACAUCCUUGGCUGGGGUGAACCCUACUUCACCGUGAACAGGGACGGCCACCUUUGCGUCAAGACCCACGGCCACGAGACGAAGCCAGGGCAAGAGAUAGACGUGGUGUCCGUGGCUGAAGCUGCAAAGGAAAAGGGCGUUCAGUUCCCAAUGAUCCUCCGCUUCCCCGACGUGCUCAAGCACCGCCUUGACUCGCUCCACGUCGCAUUCGAUAAUGCCAUCAAGCACACAGGGUACACGGCGCCAUACCAGGGCGUGUACCCAGUGAAGGUGAACCAGAACAGGGCCAUCAUCAACGACUUUGUUAGCUUUGGCCACCGUCACAGCUACGGGCUGGAGGCGGGCUCCAAGCCAGAAUUGCUCAUCGCAAUGAGCUACCUUACCAAAGCCAAGCCUGGAGCCUUCCUGGUAUGCAAUGGGUACAAGGACGCGGACUACGUGGCGCUGGCGCUGUCGGCGCGUGCCAUGGGCCUGAAUGUCAUCAUCGUGUUGGAGAUGGAGGAGGAGUUGGACAUCAUCAUCGAGCAGAGCAGCAAGCUCGGGGUAGAACCGGUGCUGGGCGUGCGUGCCAAGCUGCUCACCAAGAUACCAGGCCACUUCGGGUCGACGGCCGGAAAGCACGGCAAGUUCGGCCUGCUUGCGGACAAGAUCUACGAGGUGGCCAAGAAGCUCAAGGAUCUCAACAAGCUGCACUGGCUCAAGUUGCUGCACUUCCACAUCGGCUCCAUGAUCCCGACCACGGACAUAGUGUCCAGUGCAGCCAGGGAGGCCUCCGGCAUCUACUGCACCCUGGUGAAGCAGUAUGGCGCGGAGAUGACGACGCUGGACUGCGGCGGGGGGCUCGGCGUCGACUACGACGGCACCCGGUCAGGCAGCUCCGACAUGUCGGUGGCGUACGGGCUGGAGGAGUACGCGUCCAGCAUUGUGCAGGCUGUGCGGCUCACGUGCGAGUACAAUGGCGGCGUUCCCCACCCUGUGCUGUGCACCGAGAGUGGCCGCGCCAUGGUGUCACACCACUCGAUGAUCAUCCUCGAGGCCCUCUCGGCGAUCCCAGAGCCCAAGGACGACGAGACCCCCGAGCAGCUGCACAGCAAGAUCCAGCGUCUCUCCUCCAAUCCGCCGCCGCCGAGAGCACUCAUGGCCACGGACCUCCAGAAGCAUGCCACGGACAUCCAAAAGCACGGGGUCGAGCUGUACAAGCUGGCCAAGAAGCUCUCCAAGCGGAUCGCCGGCGACGCCAACACCAUCUACAACUACCACAUGAACCUCUCCAUCUUCUCGCUGGUUCCCGACUUUUGGGGCAUCAAGCACCUCUUCCCGAUGAUGCCGGCGAGCCGGCUCAACGAGAAGCCGACUCAAAUGGGCACGCUCAUCGACAUCACCUGCGACAGCGACGGCAAGAUUGACAAGUUCAUAGGCAAUGUCGAGACGCUGCCGCUGCACCCGGUGGACCCUGAGAGCGGCGGCUACUACGUGGCCGUGCUCCUGUCCGGCGCCUACCAGGAAGCCCUUUCUUGCAAGCACAACCUGUUCGGUGGCCCAAGCAUAGUGCGGGUCGAGAACAGCACCGGCGGCGGCAUCGACGGUGGUGGUGGUGGCUUCGACAUCGCCACAGCCGACAGGGGCCCGACGACGGAGGAGCUCAUCAGCACCGUCGGGUACGACGUCAAGGAGGACAUUCGCGGCGUGAUCGAACAGCGCGCCAGGGAAAAGGGCGUGUGGGAGAAGGUGGGGGUGUUCGUGCAGGCCGGGCUUACCUCCAUGCCCUACCUCGUCGAAUACAAGGUCCCACGAACCGCCUAA